Molecule: long non-coding RNA, 533 nt
Organism: Dendrobium catenatum
Lineage: Eukaryota; Viridiplantae; Streptophyta; Magnoliopsida; Asparagales; Orchidaceae
Exons: 3
Source: RefSeq, a predicted model, not a curated record
CUAAUAUUAUUUUUUUUAAUAGGUCAGAAGUUUGUACUUUUACUUUAUGGGAAGGAUUGGCAACAGUUGAAGGGAAACAAUUGGAAGAAUCAAGAAAUGAAAAAACAAUCAUUCUAGCAAAAGGCAUCAUUGGCAAAUAUUUUAAUGGUUUCAUACUCUCAACAACGUAAUCUACAACUUUAGAAAUUAAUCCAAAUCUGCCAUCAUCAAAAGAACUCUUGGAUUUGUAUAAAAUUUUUAAUGCUUUACUUAAUCUUUUUUAUUUUAAUUAUCCUUAUUUUUACUUAUGAAAUAUUUCAAUUUACAGGUCUAAUAAAAAUAUUCAUCAACAUACAACAUCUGAUUUUGAUACAUAUUUGAUGACAAAUCUACAAAAUAUCAACACAUCUGAACAAUCAUUGGGAGAGGUAAAGUACUACUCUACAAGAGUAGUAAUAAAAGGACUUAAUCAAGAAGGAAAUCUAUAGUACAAUUCAUGCAAUACAUGUAAAUCAAAAAAUUUUAUUAUUGAUGGUAUUGCAAAAUGUUCAAAA